Molecule: long non-coding RNA, 895 nt
Organism: Oncorhynchus kisutch (coho salmon)
Lineage: Eukaryota; Metazoa; Chordata; Actinopteri; Salmoniformes; Salmonidae
Exons: 2
Source: RefSeq, a predicted model, not a curated record
CAGAGUGAAGGAAAAGCAGUGUGCAAAGCCGUUAUCAAGGCAAAGAGCAAUGGCAGCCUCAGACCCUCAAGCAAUGUUACUUUGCAUUGUUAAUGCUGGCCAUACAAGGAAGAUAAACCUCAUCUCCCAUCCAGCAGCCGCUGUUGACGUAAACAUUUUGAAGGAACAUUUUGAGUUGAACCACGACUUCCUCUUGCAGUAUGAAGACCCUGACAUUGAUGGACAACUUACCUGCUUGAUGAUCAUUGAAGAGUUGCCACAAAAAGCAACACUGCACAUUUCAGUGGAAGAAGGAGAUUCAAGUUCUACUCCCAACCACUGACAGAAUAAUGGGGACCAUGUCUGUUCCCUCAGCAACGUGUUGUAUCAGUUCCCACAGCCCUAUAUUUCCUCAGCCCUAUUUUCCCUCAGCUGGUCCUUCAGCUGUCCUUCAGUUCUAUCAGUUCAGCUGGUCCUUCAGUUCUAUCUUCUAAACCAUGGAUCGGCAACCCAAAUGAGAGAUACUUUUUUCAAAUUCUCUCAAUAGCUAGUAUUUUUGGAGCUGCACUGAAUGUAUCCCUGUUUAAGAGGGGGAAAACAGAAAAUAUGGUCAUUAUAGACAACUGGAUGUUAUGUGAUAACAAAUAUUUCACAUGGCGUAUAUUUUUUACACCAUUGAUGUACACUCAAAAAAAAUGCUAGGCUGCCCCAACUGCUGGUUUGCAGAUGUUGUACGAUUAUUUUCAAUACCAGACGUAUUUCAUAAGGCCUUAUUUUGAGGGCCUAGUUUUACCCUAAUACAGGAUCUUGAAACUCAUACACAUCACUUUCAACAAAACCACUCCCAUCAUUAUCAUAUCUCCCAGCAUACUCUGCAACAGCAAGUUGCAAGUGAAUAAAAAUGUUAAAUUGGAAA